AGAGUUUGAUCUCUGGCUCAGGAUGAACGCUGGCGGCGUGCUUGACACAUGCAAGUCGAACGGGAAAUACUUUAUUGAAACUUCGGUGGAUUUAAUUUAUUUCUAGUGGCGGACGGGUGAGUAACGCGUGGGUAACCUGCCUUAUACUGGGGGAUAACAGCCAGAAAUGACUGCUAACACCGCAUAAGCGCACAGAACCGCAUGGUUCGGUGUGAAAAACUCCGGUGGUAUAAGAUGGACCCGCGUUGGAUUAGCUAGUUGGCAGGGCAGCGGCCUACCAAGGCGACGAUCCAUAGCCGGCCUGAGAGGGUGAACGGCCACAUUGGGACUGAGACACGGCCCAAACUCCUACGGGAGGCAGCAGUGGGGAAUAUUGCACAAUGGGGGAAACCCUGAUGCAGCGACGCCGCGUGAAGGAAGAAGUAUUUCGGUAUGUAAACUUCUAUCAGCAGGGAAGAAAAUGACGGUACCUGACUAAGAAGCCCCGGCUAACUACGUGCCAGCAGCCGCGGUAAUACGUAGGGGGCAAGCGUUAUCCGGAUUUACUGGGUGUAAAGGGAGCGUAGACGGCAUGGCAAGUCUGAUGUGAAAACUUGGGGCUCAACCCCAAGACUGCAUUGGAAACUGUUAAGCUAGAGUGCAGGAGAGGUAAGCGGAAUUCCUGGUGUAGCAGUGAAAUGCGUAGAUAUCGAGAGGAACACUCGUGGCGAAGGCGGGUUCCUGGACAUUAACUGACGCUGAGGCACGAAGGCCAGGGGAGCGAAAGGGAUUAGAUACCCCUGUAGUCCUGGCAGUAAACGGUG
RNAcentral lists this ribosomal RNA (803 nucleotides) under uncultured bacterium. RNAcentral's name for it is "bacterial SSU rRNA". It matches the Rfam family "Bacterial small subunit ribosomal RNA", at positions 8 to 811 of the family's 1533-position model. The record is from RNAcentral.